This 119-nucleotide ribosomal RNA is filed under the name Pteropus alecto (black flying fox). The record is from RNAcentral. Lineage: Eukaryota; Metazoa; Chordata; Mammalia; Chiroptera; Pteropodidae.
GUCUAUGGCCAUGCUACCCUGAACAAGCCCGAUCCCGACCGAUCUUGGAAGCUAAGCAGGGUCAGGCCUGGUUAGUACUUGGAUGGGAGACCACCUAGGAAGACCAGGUGCUAUAGGCG